CAGCGGCGGACGGGUGAGUAACGCGUGAGCAACCUGCCUUUCACAGGGGGAUAACGCAUCGAAAGAUGUGCUAAUACCGCGUAAGACCACAGCAUCGCAUGAUGCAGGGGUCAAAGGAGCAAUCCGGUGAAAGAUGGGCUCGCGUCCGAUUAGCUAGUUGGUGAGACAACAGCCCACCAAGGCGACGAUCGGUAGCCGACCUGAGAGGGUGAUCGGCCACGUUGGAACUGAGAGACGGUCCAGACUCCUACGGGAGGCAGCAGUGGGGAAUAUUGGGCAAUGGGCGAAAGCCUGACCCAGCAACGCCGCGUGAGGGAAGAAGGGUUUCGGCUCGUAAACCUCUGUCCUAUGGGACGAAGAAGAUGACGGUACCAUAGGAGGAAGCCCCGGCUGACUACGUGCCAGCAGCCGCGGUAAUACGUAGGGGGCGAGCGUUGUCCGGAAUGAUUGGGCGUAAAGGACGCGUAGGCGGCCUAUUAAGUCUGGAGUGUAAGUCCUGCUUUCAAGGUGGGAAUUGCUUUGGAUACUGAUGGGCUGGAGUGCAGGAGAGGAAAGCGGAAUUACCGGUGUAGCGGUGAAAUGCGUAGAGAUCGGUAGGAACACCAGUGGCGAAGGCGGCUUUCUGGACUGAAACUGACGCUGAGGCGCGAAAGCGUGGGGAGCAAACAGGAUUAGAUACCCUGGUAGUCCACGCGGUAAACGAUGAAUGCUAGGUGUAGGAGGUAUCGACCCCUUCUGUGCCGGAGUCAACACAAUAAGCAUUCCG
RNAcentral lists this ribosomal RNA (766 nucleotides) under uncultured Bacillota bacterium. RNAcentral describes it as "bacterial SSU rRNA". It matches the Rfam family "Bacterial small subunit ribosomal RNA", at positions 93 to 871 of the family's 1533-position model. The record is from RNAcentral. Lineage: Bacteria; Bacillati; Bacillota.